AGACCGAUAGCGAACAAGUAGAGUGAUCGAAAGAUGAAAAGCACUUUGAAAAGAGAGUUAAACAGCACGUGAAAUUGUUGAAAGGGAAGCGCUUGCAACCAGACUCGGCCUCGGGGUUCAGCCAGCAUUCGUGCUGGUGUACUUCCCCGGGGCCGGGCCAGCGUCGGUUUGGGCGGCCGGUCAAAGGCCCCAGGAAUGUAUCGUCCUCCGGGACGUCUUAUAGCCUGGGGUGCAAUGCGGCCAGCCUGGACCGAGGAACGCGCUUCGGCACGGACGCUGGCGUAAUGGUCGCAAACGACCCGUCUUGAAACACGGACCAAGAC
RNAcentral lists this ribosomal RNA (323 nucleotides) under Aspergillus sp. SC44. Its description in RNAcentral is "LSU rRNA". It matches the Rfam family "Eukaryotic large subunit ribosomal RNA", at positions 331 to 672 of the family's 3401-position model. Lineage: Eukaryota; Fungi; Ascomycota; Eurotiomycetes; Eurotiales; Aspergillaceae. The record is from RNAcentral.